Long non-coding RNA from Dermacentor albipictus, 649 nucleotides. RefSeq lists it as uncharacterized. NCBI's taxonomy places the organism in Eukaryota, Metazoa, Arthropoda, Arachnida, Ixodida, Ixodidae. The record is from RefSeq and is a predicted model, not a curated record.
GAUGGGUUAGAUUCCCAUCCACGGCGGAACAGAAAGCCGCCGUCAAGGAAGGCUUUCUUAGCCGUGGAAAAAUUCCAGGAGUUCUAGGAUGUGUGGACGGGAGUCUGAUAGCCAUCGUUCGCCCUAAGAAGCUCGGCCCCGGCGAAACGGAAUCGUACUGGAGCCGUAAAGGGUAUUACACCCUCAACUGCAUGGUCGUGUGCGACGCGAAGCUGAAUAUCCUGGAAAUUGACCCACGGUUUCCGGGAUCGUGCCACGAUUCUUUCGUCUGGAGGCAUUCUGCAUUUCGCCGCCGCCUCACUCGUGGCCUGUUACUUCAUGGAGAAGUCUUGCUUGGGGACUCUGGGUACCCGCUAGAGCCAUGGAUCAUGACUCCUGUGCCUGGUCACCCAAAUCGCCUCACGACAGAGGGGCGCUAUAAUGAGGCACACGCAUCAAUGCGAAAUGCCGUUGAGCGGUGCAUAGGAGUCGUCAAGAGCCGCUUCCGAUGCCUGCAGAGGUAUCGGGUGCUCCACUACUCGCCUCGGAAAGCAGCCACUAUUGUUGCAGCUUGUGCAGCGCUGCAUAACCUCUGCCUUGCAGCAGGCGUGCCUCUGCCAGAUGACGACGGUGCACAUGACGACAGCGCACAGGGGCCAGCCCAGGCACA